This 579-nucleotide long non-coding RNA is filed under the name Aquilegia coerulea. Its description in RNAcentral is "long non-coding RNA (ACOE_LNC000788)". Lineage: Eukaryota; Viridiplantae; Streptophyta; Magnoliopsida; Ranunculales; Ranunculaceae. The record is from RNAcentral.
UGGCUUUCUUUUUAAGUUCUAUGAGAUAUUUGUUCUUAUUCUAUUUCUUGGUGUUUUAAGAUGCAGAAAUUUCUCAACUUUCUACAUCUAGGGUGCUUUUCAUAUCUAUUGAGUUGUCGCAACAGAAAUCUAUUGUUGUGAUGGGGAUUCAGCAUGGAAAACAAUGGUAGUGGGGCUGCACUACUCAGUUAGAUGGUGGUGAUGUUAAGGGGGAUCUCAGCCGAUAAACAUGGCUGCAAUGAUAAAGCUCAAAGCUUGUGGGGAUCUUUGCUUAGGAUGGGAAUUAAUCCAGAUGUAAUGGUAGUGGACGCAUCAACGAGUGUGGGCAUCAAGAUUUCUGGUGGGUAUAGCUUGGUUUAAAGAUGAGGGUGGAAGUAUUUCUCUCGGGGAGAGGGGAGAGAUGGAUGAUGGGAAUCAUCAAGCUUUGGUGAGGUAUGGGUAUCCUUAUGCGAAGUCUUGUAGGGAUUAGAUCUUUUUAAGGUCUAAUAGGGUUCAGUAGGGUUCAAUUGGAAGCACUGAAGUCCAAUUGGGAAGCGUCAGAGUUGGGGUUCCGGCUAUAAUCUCCGGUCUACAUCUGCA